RNAcentral lists this long non-coding RNA (1353 nucleotides) under Chloebia gouldiae (Gouldian finch). RNAcentral describes it as "Erythrura gouldiae (Gouldian finch) lncRNA (ENSEGOG00005015741.1)". The record is from RNAcentral. Lineage: Eukaryota; Metazoa; Chordata; Aves; Passeriformes; Passeridae.
AUGGGAACGAGCAGGGAGGGGCCGGAGCCAGGAGAAGAUCGGGUGAAAAGCGGCUCCACACAAAGCCCUGGAGCAUGCCCGGGAAUCCCUUCCCGAGAUUCCGAUCCCUUCCCGGGGAUCCCUUCUCCAGGAUUCCGAUCCCUUCCCGGGAUUCCCGUCCCUUCCCGGGAUUCCGAUCCCUUCCCGGGAUUCCGGCACCUUCCUGGGAUUCCGGUCCCUUCCUGGGGAUCCCUUCUCCAGGAUUCCAGUCCCUUCCUCAGGUUUCCGAUCCCUUCCCGGGGAUUCCUGGGGACCCUUCCCCCAGGAUCCUUUCCCGGGGAUUCCAGUCCCUUCCCGGGGAUUCCUGUCCCUUCCUGGGGAUCCUUUCCCUGGGAUCCUUUCCCGGGCAUUCCAGUCCCUUCCCGGGAUUCUGGUCCCUUUCCCGGGAUUCCGGUCCCUCCGACUCUUCCACGCUGGAUUUGGAGCCGUUUCCCCGCGGAUCCGCGGCAGGACGAGCUCCCAGGAGAUGGAGGGAUUGGAGCAUCCCGGGCUCAGCCGGGAUCCUUUGGGGUCACCUCUGGGGUCAGCUCUGGGGUCCCCUCGGUGCUGCAGGGACCCCGGGCUGGGGCUGAUCCUGCAUCCCUGAGCAUCCCAAAUCCCUCUCCUGCUCUCCUGGGGCCGCGCAGCGCUGAGGACAGAGCGGUGGGACUGGGGAUGGGGGGAGCAGGGAUCAGGCUGGGGGUGUCUGUGGGAACCCCGAAUCCCCAGGCUGGGGGUGUCCGUGGGAAUCCUGUAUCCCAGUUUGGGGUGUCCAUGGGAAUCCCAAAUNNNNNNNNNNGUGGGAAUCCUGUAUCCCAGUUUGGGGUGUCCAUGGGAAUCCCAAAUCCUAGGUUCUGGGUGUCUGUGGGAAUCCUGUAUCCCAGUUUGGGGUGUCUGUGGGAAUCCUGGAUCCCAGUUUGCUGUGUCCCUGGGAAUCCUGAAUUCCAGUUUAGGAUGUCUGUGGGAAUCCCAAAUCCCGGUUUGGGGUGUCCAUGGGAAUCCCGGUUUGGGGUGUCUUGGGAAUCCCGGAUCCCGUUUUGGGGUGUCCCUGGGAAUCCCGGAUCCCAGUUUGGGGUGUCCCUGGGAAUCCCGGAUCCUGUUUUGGAGUGUCCCUGGGAAUCCCGGGUCCCAGUUUGGGGCGUCCCUGGGAAUCCCGGAUCCCGUUUUGGGGUGUCCCUGGGAAUCCCGGUUUGGGGUGUCCAUGGGAAUCCUGAAUCCCGGUUUGGGGUGUUCAUGGAAAUCCCGGAUCCCGGUUCGGGGUGUCCAUGGGAAUCCCGGUUUGGGGUGUCUAUGGGAAUCCCGGAUCCCGGUUCGGGGUGUCCAUGGAAAUCCUGA